GGGACACGUGGUAUCCUGUCUGAAUAUGGGGGGACCAUCCUCCAAGGCUAAAUACUCCUGACUGACCGAUAGUGAACCAGUACCGUGAGGGAAAGGCGAAAAGAACCCCGGCGAGGGGAGUGAAAAAGAACCUGAAACCGUGUACGUACAAGCAGUGGGAGCACGCUUAGGCGUGUGACUGCGUACCUUUUGUAUAAUGGGUCAGCGACUUAUAUUCUGUAGCAAGGUUAACCGAAUAGGGGAGCCGAAGGGAAACCGAGUCUUAACUGGGCGUUAAGUUGCAGGGUAUAGACCCGAAACCCGGUGAUCUAGCCAUGGGCAGGUUGAAGGUUGGGUAACACUAACUGGAGGACCGAACCGACUAAUGUUGAAAAAUUAGCGGAUGACUUGUGGCUGGGGGUGAAAGGCCAAUCAAACCGGGAGAUAGCUGGUUCUCCCCGAAAGCUAUUUAGGUAGCGCCUCGUGAACUCAUCUCCGGGGGUAGAGCACUGUUUCGGCAAGGGGGUCAUCCCGACUUACCAACCCGAUGCAAACUGCGAAUACCGGAGAAUGUUAUCACGGGAGACACACGGCGGGUGCUAACGUCCGUCGUGAAGAGGGAAACAACCCAGACCGCCAGCUAAGGUCCCAAAGUCAUGGUUAAGUGGGAAACGAUGUGGGAAGGCCCAGACAGCCAGGAUGUUGGCUUAGAAGCAGCCAUCAUUUAAAGAAAGCGUAAUAGCUCACUGGUCGAGUCGGCCUGCGCGGAAGAUGUAACGGGGCUAAACCAUGCACCGAAGCUGCGGCAGCGACGCUUAUGCGUUGUUGGGUAGGGGAGCGUUCUGUAAGCCUGUGAAGGUGUACUGUGAGGUAUGCUGGAGGUAUCAGAAGUGCGAAUGCUGACAUAAGUAACGAUAAAGCGGGUGAAAAGCCCGCUCGCCGGAAGACCAAGGGUUCCUGUCCAACGUUAAUCGGGGCAGGGUGAGUCGACCCCUAAGGCGAGGCCGAAAGGCGUAGUCGAUGGGAAACAGGUUAAUAUUCCUGUACUUGGUGUUACUGCGAAGGGGGGACGGAGAAGGCUAUGUUGGCCGGGCGACGGUUGUCCCGGUUUAAGCGUGUAGGCUGGUUUUCCAGGCAAAUCCGGAAAAUCAAGGCUGAGGCGUGAUGACGAGGCACUACGGUGCUGAAGCAACAAAUGCCCUGCUUCCAGGAAAAGCCUCUAAGCAUCAGGUAACAUCAAAUCGUACCCCAAACCGACACAGGUGGUCAGGUAGAGAAUACCAAGGCGCUUGAGAGAACUCGGGUGAAGGAACUAGGCAAAAUGGUGCCGUAACUUCGGGAGAAGGCACGCUGAUAUGUAGGUGAAGUCCCUCGCGGAUGGAGCUGAAAUCAGUCGAAGAUACCAGCUGGCUGCAACUGUUUAUUAAAAACACAGCACUGUGCAAACACGAAAGUGGACGUAUACGGUGUGACGCCUGCCCGGUGC
Molecule: ribosomal RNA, 1465 nt
Filed under: Escherichia coli
Lineage: Bacteria; Pseudomonadati; Pseudomonadota; Gammaproteobacteria; Enterobacterales; Enterobacteriaceae
Description: partial 23S ribosomal RNA
Rfam family: Bacterial large subunit ribosomal RNA
Source: RNAcentral